GGACUACUGGGGUAUCUAAUCCCGUUCGCUCCCCUAGCUUUCGCGUAUGAGUGUCAGGAGUGUGCCAGGAGGCCGCCUUCGCCACUGGUGUUCCUCCGCAUAUCUACGCAUUUCACCACUACAUGCGGAAUUCCACCUCCCUCUCACACCCUCAAGUUCGACAGUAUCGGACAGCGUCUCUCAGUUGAGCCGAGAGUUUUCAUGCCCGACUUACCAAACCACCUGCACGCGCUUUACGCCCAGUGAAUCCGGAUAACGCUCGGUACCUACGUUUUACCGCGGCUGCUGGCAC
RNAcentral lists this ribosomal RNA (292 nucleotides) under uncultured bacterium. Its description in RNAcentral is "partial 16S ribosomal RNA". The record is from RNAcentral.